CGACUCCGUCUUCAUCAGUUCAGGAAGGACAGAACGUCUGAAAGACAACAACAAAUCUCUACCAACACCAGGCGUUAGCCGGUACCAACCAGCACAAGAACUUAACGCUGAACCGCAGCGGGCAUAGGAUAAAUAAUGGAUCGAUAUGGGAACCUGGAUUUGGAUUUGGAGUGUGAUGGAGGCGGCGUAUCUCAAAAAGCUUCAUUAUUCAGUGGGAUGUUCAAGAAAUCCUCCAAGUCUGGAGAAUCGUCUGUCCAAGUUCAG
Long non-coding RNA from Thalassophryne amazonica, 264 nucleotides. RefSeq lists it as uncharacterized. The transcript has 3 exons. The record is from RefSeq and is a predicted model, not a curated record. Lineage: Eukaryota; Metazoa; Chordata; Actinopteri; Batrachoidiformes; Batrachoididae.